GCGUUGAUGAUGAAACCUCAUUCUAUCUUGAAGAGAGAUGAUGACUUAAAAAUUAUGCUCAAUAGGAUUAUUCUGAGGCCC
Molecule: small nucleolar RNA, 81 nt
Organism: Oryctolagus cuniculus (rabbit)
Lineage: Eukaryota; Metazoa; Chordata; Mammalia; Lagomorpha; Leporidae
Gene: SNORD115
Rfam family: Small nucleolar RNA SNORD115
About the family: HBII-52 is a member of the C/D class of snoRNAs, which contain the C (UGAUGA) and D (CUGA) box motifs. HBII-52 is encoded in a tandemly repeated array with another C/D snoRNA, HBII-85, in the Prader-Willi syndrome (PWS) region of chromosome 15.
Source: Ensembl